RNAcentral lists this ribosomal RNA (738 nucleotides) under Cyclocybe erebioides. Its description in RNAcentral is "eukaryotic LSU rRNA". It matches the Rfam family "Eukaryotic large subunit ribosomal RNA", at positions 78 to 787 of the family's 3401-position model. The record is from RNAcentral. Lineage: Eukaryota; Fungi; Basidiomycota; Agaricomycetes; Agaricales; Hemipholiotaceae.
CCCUAGUACUGCGAGUGAAGCGGGAAAAGCUCAAAUUUAAAAUCUGGCGGUCCCUGMGGCCGUCCGAGUUGUAAUCUAGAGAAGUGCUUACCCGCGCUGGACCGUGUACAAGUCUCCUGGAAUGGAGCGUCAUAGAGGGUGAGAAUCCCGUCUUUGACACGGACUACCAGGGCUUAUGUGGUGCGCUCUCGAAGAGUCGAGUUGUUUGGGAAUGCAGCUCUAAAUGGGUGGUAAAUUCCAUCUAAAGCUAAAUACAGGCGAGAGACCGAUAGCGAACAAGUACCGUGAGGGAAAGAUGAAAAGAACUUUGGAAAGAGAGUUAAACAGUACGUGAAAUUGCUGAAAGGGAAACGUUUGAAGUCAGUCGCGUUGGCUGGAGAUCAACCUUGCUCUUGUGGGGCGCACUCUCUGGUUUGACGGGUCAGCAUCAGUUUUGGCCAUUGGAUAAAGGCUAAGGGAAUGUGGCAUYGCUUCGGUGGUGUGUUAUAGCYCUUGGUUGCAUACGAUGGCUGGGACUGAGGAACUCAGCGUGCCUGCAAAGGCCGGGUACUUCGGGACCACGUACACGCUUANGAUGCUGGCAUAAUGGCUUUAAGCGACCCGUCUUGAAACACGGACCAAGGAGUCUAACAUGCUUGCGAGUGUUUGGGUGGAAAACCCGAGCGCGUAAUGAAAGUGAAAGUUGGGAUCCCUGUCGUGGGGGUGCACCGACGCCCGGACCAGACCUUCUUGUGACGG